This 230-nucleotide ribosomal RNA is filed under the name uncultured bacterium. RNAcentral describes it as "partial 16S ribosomal RNA". It matches the Rfam family "Bacterial small subunit ribosomal RNA", at positions 562 to 791 of the family's 1533-position model. The record is from RNAcentral.
AAAGCGUCUGUAGGUGGUUUAGUAAGUCUGCUGUUAAAGAUUAGGGCUUAACCCUAGGAAAGCAGUGGAAACUACUAGACUUGAGUGUGGUAGAGGUAGAGGGAAUUCCUAGUGUAGCGGUGAAAUGCGUAGAUAUUAGGAAGAACACCAAUGGCGAAAGCACUCUACUGGGCCAUAACUGACACUAAGAGACGACAGCUAGGGGAGCAAAUGGGAUUAGAUACCCCAGU